UUCUCCGCGGCCCCGCACGCCUCUGACCAAUCCUAGAGCACAAGGAAGGCUGAGGGCCAAUCAGAAUAUCCAGAAGUACAGCGAGGGGGUGGGACAAAAGUGGUGUUAACAGAAACUGGUUCCCUACAGAAACGCUCAGCCAAGGUGAGCAGGUUCCAGGUCGACGUGUGCAAGGAGCUGAUGGAAAGGGAGAGGCAAUGCUUGAGGUUGGAGACAGUGAACUAACAGGCAGCGCGUGUAUUCAUUUCAUUUGAAAACAGGUCACGAUGCAUUUUCUCCCUUUGGCUGUGCUAGGGGUUGAACACGAAGACGUUCAUCUGAAGCUACACCCCUCCCAUUUUUGAGACAAACGCUUGCUGAGUAGUUCAUCCUACUUGUUCAGGGCCACCACAUAGCUGAGAUCAUUCGAAUACCCUACCGUGCCCAAAAGACAUUUUUAAAUAAUUGUAUUUAAAAGCUUUGAAAUUAAACUAGCACUUUAAAAUUAUAUUUUCAAGUUGGAUGUAGUAGCUUCUGCCUUUUAUUCCAACACUCAGGUGGCAUUGGCAGUGGCGGGCAGAUCUUCAGAAGUUCAAGGCCAGCCGGACCGGUUCCGGACCAGACACGGCUGCAUAAAAAAAUUUUUUUUCACUCAUUCAUCAUUUUGCUAUUUUUGUUUGUUUGUUUGUAUACAGGAUGUCACCAUGCAACUUGUUACAGAAUUUGCCUCUUCCUCCCUCCUGCUGGGAUUAAAGGCUUGGGUCACCAUGGCCUAGCCUUAUUCUGUUUUUGUCAGGACAAAAGUAAUGUUUUCCUUCAACAUCUCACAGAUGCCAUUUGCAGACAGGUCUCUUUGCAAGUGCCACAUCUGUAGUGAAACAAGAGAAGACCACCUCCUGCGGGUUUCUCUGUGUAGCCUUGGCUGUUCUGGACUCACUUUGUAGACCAGGCUCGUCUGGAACUCGCAGAGAUCUGCCUACCUCUGCUCCCCGAAUGGAAUUAGUCGAAUUCUGCGAACUUUGAGGGCCUUUCGGAGAAGACGUGGCUGCUUGGAGGAGGACUGCUGGCUGCUGGCUCGUCCUCCUGCUGCAUUUGCUGUUUGCUGAUUUACCAGUUAUCUGGACUUGCCCCCAUCCUACGACCCUACCCAGUGGGAAGUAGCAAAAAGAAGUCCACCCCCUGUCCCCGCUAACCUUCUUUCCCUCCUACCCGGUGUUAGAGGCUUGGAAGGGAGAAGGAAAGAAGCAUGUAAGAGCCCUAAAUGAAGUAGGUUUUAUAAAAAAAUCUAGAUCAACACCUUUCUGUUCUGUUCUCUCUGGCUUAUUUCGGCUCCCCGACUGUUAGAGGGGUAGACUGUUAGUCCCCCCUCCAUUCCUGGUGACAGCCUUUUGGAGAA
Molecule: long non-coding RNA, 1375 nt
Organism: Meriones unguiculatus (Mongolian gerbil)
Lineage: Eukaryota; Metazoa; Chordata; Mammalia; Rodentia; Muridae
Exons: 3
Source: RefSeq, a predicted model, not a curated record